Molecule: non-coding RNA, 215 nt
Filed under: Campeiostachys nutans
Lineage: Eukaryota; Viridiplantae; Streptophyta; Magnoliopsida; Poales; Poaceae
Also listed under: 3 other names
Description: Elymus nutans partial small subunit ribosomal RNA
Rfam family: Eukaryotic small subunit ribosomal RNA (bases 37-215)
Source: RNAcentral
GGAUCAAUUUAUUGGUCGUGCUAUUGUACGUACUGGUAUUAUUGAUUCCUACCUUCUGACGAACCAUGAUGUCAUUAAUUUGGUGUCAUGGGGAAUCAGGACUGUUACUUUGAAAAAAUUAGAGUGUUUAAAGCAGGCUCACGCUUGAAUACAUUAGCAUGGAAUAACGAAAUAGGACGUUUGAUUCUAUUUUGUUGGUUUCUAGGAUCGACGUA